UCGUCCUCCGGGAGUGGUGGGGACACUGUUGGGACCGCUCUGGCUAAGGAGGAGGAAGGGAAUGGGCAACGGUAGGUCAGCAUGCCCCGAAUUAUCUGGGCUACACGCGGGCUACAAUGGGUGGGACAAUGGGUAUCGACACCGAAAGGUGAAGGCAACUACUCCUAAACCCAUCCGUAGUUCGGAUUGUGGGCUGCAACUCGCCCACAUGAAGCUGGAAUCUGUAGUAAUCGUGUCUCAAAAUGGCACGGUGAAUAUGUCCCUGCUCCUU
This 271-nucleotide ribosomal RNA is filed under the name uncultured Methanomicrobiales archaeon. RNAcentral describes it as "partial 16S ribosomal RNA". It matches the Rfam family "Archaeal small subunit ribosomal RNA", at positions 1072 to 1338 of the family's 1478-position model. The record is from RNAcentral. Lineage: Archaea; Methanobacteriati; Methanobacteriota; Methanomicrobia; Methanomicrobiales.